Molecule: unclassified non-coding RNA, 345 nt
Filed under: soil metagenome
Description: partial contains 5.8S ribosomal RNA, internal transcribed spacer 2, and large subunit ribosomal RNA
Rfam family: 5.8S ribosomal RNA (bases 1-120)
Source: RNAcentral
GAUGAAGAACGUAGCGAAAUGCGAUAAGUAAUGUGAAUUGCAGAAUUCAGUGAAUCAUCGAAUCUUUGAACGCACAUUGCGCCCCCUGGCAUUCCGGGGGGCAUGCCUGUUCGAGCGUCAUUACAACCCUCAAGCACGGCUUGUGUGUUGGGCCUCCGUCCUCCUCCCGGGGGACGGGCCCGAAAGGCAGCGGCGGCACCGCGUCCGGUCCUCGAGCGUAUGGGGCUUCGUCACCCGCUCUUGUAGGCCCGGCCGGCGCUUGCCGACACAUCAAUCUUUUUUCCAGGUUGACCUCGGAUCAGGUAGGGAUACCCGCUGAACUUAAGCAUAUCAAUAAGCGGAGGA